AGUGAACGCUGGCGGCGUGCCUAAUACAUGCAAGUCGAACGGAGUGGCGCACGGGUGAGUAAUAUAUAGCUACUCUGCCCCUUGCUGGAGGACAACAGAUAGAAAUGACUGCUAAUACUCCAUAGCAAGGGAUGAGACUAUAUCGUAUCAGCUAGUCGGUGGGGUAACGGCCUACCGAGGCUAUGACGCGUAACUGGUCUGAGAGGAUGAUCAGGGACAUGGGAACUGAGACGCGGGCCAGACUCGUACGUGAGGCAGCAGUGGGGAAUAUUGAGCAAUGGGGGGAGUUCUGACGCAGCAACGCCGCGUGGGGGAUGACACUUUUCGGAGAGGAAACUCCUUUGGUUAGGGAAGCGGUACCGAAAGAAUAAGCACCGGCUAACUCCGUGCCAGCAGCCGCGGUAAUAC
This 408-nucleotide ribosomal RNA is filed under the name uncultured bacterium. RNAcentral describes it as "partial 16S ribosomal RNA". It matches the Rfam family "Bacterial small subunit ribosomal RNA", at positions 29 to 526 of the family's 1533-position model. The record is from RNAcentral.